Molecule: ribosomal RNA, 460 nt
Filed under: uncultured bacterium
Lineage: Bacteria
Description: partial 16S ribosomal RNA
Rfam family: Bacterial small subunit ribosomal RNA
Source: RNAcentral
CCUACGGGUGGCAGCAGUGAGGAAUAUUGGUCAAUGGACGGAAGUCUGAACCAGCCAUGCCGCGUGCAGGAAGACGGCUCUAUGAGUUGUAAACUGCUUUUGCACAAGGGUAAACAUGAAUACGUGUAUUCAGCUGAAAGUACUGUAAGAAUAAGGCUGGGCUAACGCUGUGCCAGCAGCCGCGGUAAUACGGAGGAUCUAAGCGUUAUCCGGAUUUAUUGGGUGUAAAGGGUGCGUAGGCGGAUUGACAAGUUAGAGGUGAAAUGUCCGAGCUCAACUCGGGAACUGCCUCUAAUACUGUUUGUCUAGAGAGUAGGAGCGGUAAGCGGAAUGUAUGGUGUAGCGGUGAAAUGCUUAGAGAUCAUACAGAACACCGGUUGCGAAGGCAGCUUACCAAUCUGUAUCUGACGUUGAGGCACGAAAGCGUGGGGAGCAAACAGGAUUAGAUACCCUGGUAGUC